RNAcentral lists this ribosomal RNA (433 nucleotides) under uncultured bacterium. RNAcentral's name for it is "partial 16S ribosomal RNA". It matches the Rfam family "Bacterial small subunit ribosomal RNA", at positions 29 to 507 of the family's 1533-position model. The record is from RNAcentral.
AGCGAACGCUGGCGGCAGGCCUAACACAUGCAAGUCGAACGAACUGUUCGGAGUUAGUGGCGGACGGGUGAGUAACACGUGGGAACGUGCCUUUUGGUUCGGAAUAACUCAGGGAAACUUGUGCUAAUACCGAAUGUGCCCUUCGGGGGAAAGAUUUAUCGCCAUUAGAGCGGCCCGCGUCUGAUUAGCUAGUUGGUGAGGUAACGGCUCACCAAGGCGACGAUCAGUAGCUGGUCUGAGAGGAUGACCAGCCACACUGGGACUGAGACACGGCCCAGACUCGUACGGGAGGCAGCAGUGGGGAAUCUUGCGCAAUGGGCGAAAGCCUGACGCAGCCAUGCCGCGUGAAUGAUGAAGGUCUUAGGAUUGUAAAAUUCUUUCACCGGGGACGAUAAUGACGGUACCCGGAGAAGAAGCCCCGGCUAACUUCGUG